UGGAUCCAGACUUUGAUCAUGGCUCAGGAUGAACGCUAGCUACAGGCUUAACACAUGCAAGUCGAGGGGCAGCAUGACGAUAGCUUGCUAUUGUUGAUGGCGACCGGCGCACGGGUGAGUAACGCGUAUCCAACCUUCCCGUUGCUAGGGGAUAACCUUGCGAAAGUAAGACUAAUACCCUAUGAUGUUCUUCGCAGACAUCUAAAGAGAACCAAAGAUUUAUCGGCAACGGAUGGGGAUGCGUCUGAUUAGGUUGUUGGCGGGGUAACGGCCCACCAAGCCUACGAUCAGUAGGGGUUCUGAGAGGAAGGUCCCCCACAUUGGAACUGAGACACGGUCCAAACUCCUACGGGAGGCAGCAGUGAGGAAUAUUGGUCAAUGGACGGAAGUCUGAACCAGCCAAGUAGCGUGCAGGACGACGGCCCUAUGGGUUGUAAACUGCUUUUAUGUGGGAAUAAAGUGAGGGACGUGUCCCUUUUUGUAGGUACCACAUGAAUAAGGACCGGCUAAUUCCGUGCCAGCAGCCGCGGUAAUACGGAAGGUCCGGGCGUUGUCCGGAUUUAUUGGGUUUAAAGGGAGCGUAGGCCGUCUUUUAAGCGUGUUGUGAAAUACUGUCGCUCAACGACAGAGGUGCAGCGCGAACUGGGAGACUUGAGUGCGCGGAAUGCAGGCGGAAUUCGUCGUGUAGCGGUGAAAUGCUUAGAUAUGACGAAGAACUCCGAUUGCGAAGGCAGCUUGCAGUAGCGUAACUGACGCUGAAGCUCGAAAGUGCGGGUAUCGAACAGGAUUAGAUACCCUGGUAGUCCGCACGGUAAACGAUGGAUGCUCGCUGUGUGCCCUUGGGUACGCGGCCAAGCGAAAGCAUUAAGCAUCCCACCUGGGGAGUACGCCGGCAACGGUGCAACUCAAAUGAAUUGACGGA
RNAcentral lists this ribosomal RNA (922 nucleotides) under uncultured organism. RNAcentral describes it as "bacterial SSU rRNA". It matches the Rfam family "Bacterial small subunit ribosomal RNA", at positions 1 to 917 of the family's 1533-position model. The record is from RNAcentral.